UGAGGAGGGCGGCGGUGGGGCCACACCGGAUAUUGGGAAACCCUGAUCCUUCGUCCCGCGUGUGCGAUGAAGGCCUUCGGUUGUAAAGCACUUUUGGCAGGAAAGAAACCGGCGCAGGAUAUUACCCGUGCAACUGACGGUACCUGCAGAUAAGCACCGGCUAACUACGUGCCAGCAGCCGCGGUAAUACGUAGGGUGCAAGCGUUAAUCGGAAUUACUGGGCGUAAAGCGUGCGCAGGCGGUUCGCGGAAGAAAGAUGAAAUCCAGAGCUUAACUUUGGAACUGCAUUUUAACUACCGAGCUGAGUCAGUAUUCGGAAGUGGGAGUGUGUAGCAGUGAAAUGCGUAGAUAUGCGGAGGAACACCGAUGGCGAGGCAGCCUCCUGGGAUAACACUGACGCUCAUGCACGAAAGCGUGGGAGCAAACGGAUUAGAUGCCCGUGUGGU
Molecule: unclassified non-coding RNA, 446 nt
Filed under: uncultured Bordetella sp.
Lineage: Bacteria; Pseudomonadati; Pseudomonadota; Betaproteobacteria; Burkholderiales; Alcaligenaceae
Description: partial 16S-23S ribosomal RNA intergenic spacer
Rfam family: Bacterial small subunit ribosomal RNA
Source: RNAcentral